GUUUAAUACGUUUUCUUUUAUACAUUUAAAUAAUUAUGAAUUAAUUAAUUGUGACUUUUUGACUGAGGCUUGUUACUCUAAGUCCUAUGGCUUUUUUUUGUUUUUCAACACAUAUUGUCAACAAUCAACAAACAUAAAUAUGAUUAGUCAAUUCCAGUUUAUAUAUUCAUCUUAAUUUAAAGUACAAUUAUUUGCAACAAUGAAGUAUUACAGGGUUCAUACACCUUUUUAGUUCCAUUUUUCCAUGACUUUUCCAUGACUUUUCAAGGAUGUUUUAUGAAAUUUCCAUACCCCAAAACUAUAGACCAAAAAGGUCAUCCCUAAUGCUAUAAACAUGCUUUUGUGUCCUUUCCAUGCAACUAAAUAAACAAUCUUUUUAACAUCCAAUAAUGACACAAUUGCACUGAAACACAAUGAGAAAUACCAACAUAUUUAUGAAUGACAAUACUGAGUUA
Molecule: long non-coding RNA, 455 nt
Filed under: Mytilus galloprovincialis (Mediterranean mussel)
Lineage: Eukaryota; Metazoa; Mollusca; Bivalvia; Mytilida; Mytilidae
Source: RNAcentral